CUUCGGCCCAAGCGCAGCCGACGGCUCUGGGAGGAGAGGAGUCACACGGCCGUAAGGCACUGGAGGAAGUGGGCAAAUGACAGAACCUGCUAGAAGCUCUCUCCUUUCCUGACGGAUCAACGAAGAAAUAGAGUGCUGACGCUAUCCCAUGACACAGAGCAUGGCAAAAACAGGAAGGAGAGGAAAACGGGAAAAUGUGCACUUCUUCGACACAUCUACAAACCGUUUGCCAUUAGCCCAACACAGCCUUAUGUCUGGGGUUGAACCCAGGACCUCUGGCACAGGAAGCACUCUAUCACUAUCAGCACAUCCCGCCAACUGUGGGGAGCUGAGGAAGCCAGGAGUGAGUAUGUGAAGAACAGAUAAAGUCCUGAGUGAAUGUAUACUACUGACAUGGACACUGUCAUGUCAAGGACCAAUGCCUCAGGCCCAUGGGAAAUGGGCAAAGCCUUCCCCACAUUGGUCAGGCUCAGAACUGGUAAAGUCUUCCCCUGGUAUGAGUGCAAAUGUUGACAGUGUACAAUUAUGAGUAUUUACUAAUGGUUGACCCAUGUCAAACUGGCAGGUCACGGAUGUUGGAUGAUUACAGCCUGAGAUUGUUCACUUAGAGACCUACCAUGACCAGCUCAUUCUCUACCUCUGUGCUGUACCUAAUAAAUACACUGAGGUUCCAAGUUGCAUGUAGUAGGUGGCGCCUCUCCAUCAGAGCGUGAGCACCC
This is a long non-coding RNA of Meriones unguiculatus (Mongolian gerbil), 719 nucleotides long. RefSeq lists it as uncharacterized. The record is from RefSeq and is a predicted model, not a curated record. The transcript has 3 exons. NCBI's taxonomy places the organism in Eukaryota, Metazoa, Chordata, Mammalia, Rodentia, Muridae.